UCAAGUUAUUAAGGGUGCAGGGCGGAUGCCUUGGCACUAGGAGCCGAUGAAGGACGUGAUAAGCUGCGAUAAGCUUCGGGGAGUUGCACGUAAACUUUGAUCCGAAGAUUUCCGAAUGAGGAAACUCACUUAGAGUAAUGUCUAAGUAUCAUUAAGUGAAUACAUAGCUUAAUGAGGGGAACUCAGGGAACUGAAACAUCUAAGUACCUGAAGGAAGAGAAAGAAAUUCGAUUCCGUAAGUAGCGGCGAGCGAACGCGGAUUAGCCCAAACCAAUAAAGUUUUCUUUGUUGGGGUUGCGGACAUAUCAUAACGAAGAGGUAUCGUAAUUGAAGAGGUUUGGAAAGACCCACCACAGAAGGUAAUAGUCCUGUAUGUUAAACGAGAAGACUUUAGAUAUGAUCCAGAGUACCACGGGACACGUGAAACCCUGUGGGAAGCAGGAGGGACCACCCUCCAAGGCUAAAUACUACCUAGUGACCGAUAGCGUAUAGUACCGUGAGGGAAAGGUGAAAAGAACCCCGGGAGGGGAGUGAAAUAGAACCUGAAACCCUGCACUUACAAGCUGUGGAAGCACAUUUCUUGUGUGACCGCGUACUUUUUGUAGAACGGGCCAACGAGUUACGUUAAGUAGCAAGGUUAAGCACUUAAGGUGCGGAGCCGUAGCGAAAGCGAGUUUUAACUGAGCGUUCAGUUACUUGACGUAGACCCGAAACCGGGCGACCUACCCAUGAGCAGGAUGAAGCGAAAGUAAAAUUUCGUGGAGGUCCGAACCCACGAGCGUUGAAAAGCUCGGGGAUGACUUGUGGGUAGCGGUGAAAUUCCAAUCGAGCCCGGAGAUAGCUGGUUCUCCCCGAAAUAGCUUUAGGGCUAGCCUCAAGGUGAGAGAUACGGAGGUAGAGCACUGAAUGUCCUAGGGGGUAUUGCACCUACCGAAGACUAUCAAACUCCGAAUGCCGUCAUCUUAUACUUGGGAGUCAGACUGUGGGUGAUAAGAUUCAUAGUCGAAAGGGCAACAGCCCAGAUCGUCAGCUAAGGUCCCUAAAUGUAAGUUAAGUGGUAAAGGAUGUGGGAUUGCACAGACAACCAGGAUGUUGGCUUAGAAGCAGCCACUCAUUCAAAGAGUGCGUAAUAGCUCACUGGUCGAGUGAUCCUGCGCCGAAGAUUUCCGGGGCUAAAACUUACUACCGAAGCUACGGCAUCAGUAAUGAUGGGUAGGGGAGCUUCCCAUACGGGUUGAAGCAUGACCGUAAGGACAUGUGGACAGUAUGGGAGUGAGAAUGUUGGCAUGAGUAGCGAGAUGUGGGUGAGAAUCCCACAGGCCGUAAACCCAAGGUUUCCAGGGGAAGGUUCGUCCGCCCUGGGUUAGUCGGGACCUAAGCUGAGGCCGAAAGGCGUAGGUGAUGGACAACAGGUUGAUAUUCCUGUACUACCGAUAACCGUUUGAGAGAAGGGAUGACACAGUAGGAUAAGCUAAGCACACUGUUGGUUAUGUGUGCCCAAGCAUUGAGGCAGUCAAAGUAGGCAAAUCCGCUUUGAUAAUGCUGGGAUGUGAUGGGGAGCGAAAUUUAGUAGCGAAGUAGCUGAUUUCACACUGUCAAGAAAAGUCUCUAUCGAGGUUAAAGGUACCCGUACCGCAAACCGACACAGGUGGGUGAGGAGAGUAUCCUAAGGCCAGCGAGAGAACUGUUGUUAAGGAACUCGGCAAAAUGACCCCGUAACUUAGGGAUAAGGGGUGCCACCAUCAGGUGGCCGCAGAGAAUAGGCCCAAGCGACUGUUUACCAAAAACAUAGGUUUCUGCUAAGUCGCAAGACGAUGUAUAGGAGCUGACGCCUGCCCGGUGCUGGAAGGUUAAGGGGAUCUGUUAGAGCAAUCGAAGCAGUGAACUUAAGCCCCAGUAAACGGCGGCCGUAACUAUAACGGUCCUAAGGUAGCGAAAUUCCUUGUCGGGUAAGUUCCGACCCGCACGAAAGGCGUAACGAUUUGGGCACUGUCUCAACAACAGACUCGGUGAAAUUGUAAUUCCGGUGAAGAUGCCGGAUACCUGCGACAGGACGGAAAGACCCCAUGGAGCUUUACUGUAGCUUGACAUUGGGUCUUGGUACUACAUGUACAGGAUAGGUGGGAGGCUUUGAAACCAGGACGCCAGUUUUGGCGGAGCCAUCCUUGGGAUACCACCCUUGUAGUACUGGGACUCUAACCAUAGGCCAUGAAUCUGGUCUUGGGACACUGUCAGGUGGGCAGUUUGACUGGGGCGGUCGCCUCCCAAAAGGUAACGGAGGCGCUCAAAGGUUCUCUCAGUACGGUCGGAAAUCGUACGUAGAGUGUAAAGGCAAAAGAGAGCUUGAUUGCAAGACAUACAGGUCGAGCAAGGAUGAAAAUCGGACUUAGUGAUCCGGUGGUUCUGCGUGGAAGGGCCAUCGCUCAACGGAUAAAAGCUACCCUGGGGAUAACAGGCUUAUCUCCCCCAAGAGUCCACAUCGACGGGGAGGUUUGGCACCUCGAUGUCGGCUCAUCACAUCCUGGGGCUGUAGUAGGUCCCAAGGGUUGGGCUGUUCGCCCAUUAAAGUGGUACGCGAGCUGGGUUCAGAACGUCGUGAGACAGUUCGGUCCCUAUCCGUCGCAGGCGUAGGAAAUUUGAGAAGACCUGUCCUUAGUACGAGAGGACCGGGAUGGACGUACCUCUGGUGUACCAGUUGUCCUGCCAAGGGCAUGGCUGGGUAGCUAUGUGCGGAAUGGAUAAGCGCUGAAAGCAUCUAAGCGCGAAGCCAACUUCAAGAUAAGAUUUCCCACCGCAAGGGUAAGACCCCAGAAAGACUAUCUGGUUGAUAGGUCGAAGGUGUAAGUGCAGCAAUGUAUUUAGCUUAUCGAUACUAAUAGGUCGAGGACUUGACCAA
This 2896-nucleotide ribosomal RNA is filed under the name Clostridioides difficile. RNAcentral describes it as "bacterial LSU rRNA". It matches the Rfam family "Bacterial large subunit ribosomal RNA". The record is from RNAcentral. Lineage: Bacteria; Bacillati; Bacillota; Clostridia; Peptostreptococcales; Peptostreptococcaceae.